Molecule: long non-coding RNA, 574 nt
Filed under: Trifolium pratense (red clover)
Lineage: Eukaryota; Viridiplantae; Streptophyta; Magnoliopsida; Fabales; Fabaceae
Description: long non-coding RNA (TPRA_LNC011179)
Source: RNAcentral
GUUGAUGUAAUGAACCGCCAAUAUAACAAAUUAACUUGCUCCACACAUCAAUUAACAAAUAAUACAACUGUGAUUUGAUACGAUAAUUAAGAAAAUGGGUAUUAGAAUACAGAAUGUCGAAGAUGUAUAGAUACUUCUUGAAUUGCAAGAUUGAAAUAUAGAAUAAUUUUUCAUCUCCUGCUAACUAUAAAAGUAGGAAAAGUAACCAAAACUUUUGAAUACAUAAAAAAUUUACCUUUAAUACAAAGAUUCAAUUCUUCAACAAUAACAAUAUGUCAUGAAUUCUAGAAGUGUGUAAUGGCUUGAAAUGAGAUUGAUCUAGUGCAAAAAUUUUAGAAUUUAAGUGUGAUGUUAGAAUGAUUUUGUCGGUUUAGAAAAUGAUGCAAGCAGUUCAUGGUUGAAGAGUAAAAUUGGAAAAUAAAAAUGAGUUAGUUAUCAAUUCCUUGAAUCAACCACCCAUGUAUGAGAGGAUAAAGUUGGAAAUAAAUAAAAUCCACACCAAAAAGAAAGGGUAAAGUUGGAAAUAAUAAAAAUUCACACCAAAUUGAGACAUCCCCUUUAUAUUAUGUAUAGA